GUUGAUUGGAUUUCAACUUCAUAAAAAACUACCUUGACCAAAAACUUUAACCUGAAAUUUGCACUAUCAUUUUCUAUGUUCAGUAAACCGUGAAAUUGGGGUCAAAAAUCUAAUUUGGAAUUAAAAUUAGAAAGAUCAUAUCAUAGGGCACAUGUGUACUACGUUUCUAGUUGAUUGGACUUCAACGUCAUCAAAAACUACCUUGACCAAAAAACUUUAACCUGAAGCGGAACAGACGGACGAACGGACGGACGGAAGAACGAACGGACGAACGGACGCACAUAUCAGAAAACAUAAUGCCCCUCUACUAUCGUAGGUGGGGCAUAAAAAAACUCCGCAAUUAGUUGAAAUGAAGUAGUAUAAAUUUAAUACUGCAUCAUUUGAGACCUAACUACAUGUAACUUACUAACUCUUGUUGCAACAUGUAUAAUUAAGUAUGUGCAAACAAUCCGUAAUACGUUUGCUUUUUUUCUCGGAUAAAGAUACAUUUUGAUUGUGUUCUAAUCCAAAAUUACAGGAAUGCGAUAAAAAAUUUACAAUAACCAGUAGAACUAUAAAAAUACAAAAACACACAAUCAUGUAUUCACACGUCGUCUUAAUAUUAAAAUAUAUAAAAGACAAUAUUUUAACAUUAUUAAUUUUUGAAUUAUCUGGUCUCAAUCUUAAGAGAUGUACCAUAAAGUUGAUAAAACGCAUCAUUUAAAAAGUAUUUCUAGUUUUUAAAUUUGUACAUGACACAAGAAUUUAAAAAUCUAAAUGUUUCAUCAUGAGGGUAUGGAUUGGGUUUACAUAAUAGAUUGAUUGAUAGCUGUUUGCUUAACACCCAGUGGCAAAUAUUACAUACAUAUUCAGAAUAGAAUGGAAAAUAGUGUGCCAAAAGUGCAGAAUAAAGACCAAAAAUUUAUAUAGAAUAGAAAAGGGCAAAAAAAGGAACAGAAAAAAAUGGGGUGCUAAAAUAUAAAAUAGAGAAUAUUGGUAAAAAAAAUAUAAAAAAAUAAAGAUAAAUAAUCUAAAAGAUUAAAAAACAAAAUAUAAUUGAAGGACCAUCUACCUAAAAAAAAAUCAAGAACCUACUCUUUUUGUCAUUGUUAUAAAAAAAGGAAACAGUUGCAUUAAAUUCAUAUAGUAAUAGUUUUCUAAUUAGUUUUGUAUACAAAAGAGUGAAAUGACAUUUGUCUUAUAUUGAUGGCAACA
Molecule: long non-coding RNA, 1194 nt
Filed under: Mytilus galloprovincialis (Mediterranean mussel)
Lineage: Eukaryota; Metazoa; Mollusca; Bivalvia; Mytilida; Mytilidae
Source: RNAcentral